GAUGAACGCUGGCGGCGUGCCUAAUACAUGCAAGUCGAGCGAACAGACGAGGAGCUUGCUCCUCCGACGUUAGCGGCGGACGGGUGAGUAACACGUAGGUAACCUACCUAUAAGACUGGGAUAACUUCGGGAAACCGGAGCUAAUACCGGAUAAUAUUUCGAACCGCAUGGUUCGAUAGUGAAAGAUGGCUUUGCUAUCACUUAUAGAUGGACCUGCGCCGUAUUAGCUAGUUGGUAAGGUAACGGCUUACCAAGGCAACGAUACGUAGCCGACCUGAGAGGGUGAUCGGCCACACUGGAACUGAGACACGGUCCAGACUCCUACGGGAGGCAGCAGUAGGGAAUCUUCCGCAAUGGGCGAAAGCCUGACGGAGCAACGCCGCGUGAGUGAUGAAGGUCUUCGGAUCGUAAAACUCUGUUAUUAGGGAAGAACAAACGUGUAAGUAACUGUGCACGUCUUGACGGUACCUAAUCAGAAAGCCACGGCUAACUACGUG
RNAcentral lists this ribosomal RNA (497 nucleotides) under uncultured bacterium. RNAcentral describes it as "partial 16S ribosomal RNA". It matches the Rfam family "Bacterial small subunit ribosomal RNA", at positions 28 to 507 of the family's 1533-position model. The record is from RNAcentral.